AGCUCCAAUAGCGUAUAUUAAAGUUGUUGCGGUUAAAAAGCUCGUAGUUGGAUUUCUGCUGAAGCAAACCGGUCCGCCCUCUGGGUGAGCAUCUGGUUUUGUUUUGGCAUAUGCUUAGACUUUGCAGCUGCACUUGACUGUGUGGUGUGAAGGCUGAGCCAUUUACUUUGAGGAAAUCAGAGUGUUUCAAGCAGGCCAUUGCCUUGAAUACACUAGCAUGGAAUAAUAUGAUAUGACUGUGGUUUUAUUUUGUUGGCUUUUAGAAUUAGAGUAAUGGUUAAUAGGGAUAGUUGGGGGCAUUCAUAUUUAACUGUCAGAGGUGAAAUUCUUGGAUUUGUUAAGGAUGAACGACUGCGAAAGCAUUUGCCAAGGAUGCUUUCAUUG
This 384-nucleotide ribosomal RNA is filed under the name Tripos sp. RNAcentral describes it as "partial small subunit ribosomal RNA". It matches the Rfam family "Eukaryotic small subunit ribosomal RNA", at positions 587 to 975 of the family's 1831-position model. The record is from RNAcentral. Lineage: Eukaryota; Dinophyceae; Gonyaulacales; Ceratiaceae.